This 479-nucleotide ribosomal RNA is filed under the name uncultured bacterium. RNAcentral describes it as "bacterial SSU rRNA". It matches the Rfam family "Bacterial small subunit ribosomal RNA", at positions 28 to 501 of the family's 1533-position model. The record is from RNAcentral.
GAUGAACGCUAGCGGCAGGCUUAACACAUGCAAGUCGAGGGGCAGCAUACCCAGCAAUGGGUGAUGGCGACCGGCGGAAGGGUGCGUAACGCGUGAGCAACAUACCCUAUACAGGGGGAUAAGCCAGGGAAACUUGGUCUAAUAUCCCAUAGGAAAUAGAUAAGGCAUCUUGUUUAUUUUAAAGCUUCGGUGGUAUAGGAUUGGCUCGCGUGACAUUAGCUAGAUGGAGGGGUAACGGCCCACCAUGGCAAUGAUGUCUAGGGGUUCUGAGAGGAAGAUCCCCCACACUGGGACUGAGACACGGCCCAGACUCCUACGGGAGGCAGCAGUGAGGAAUAUUGGACAAUGGAUGGAAAUCUGAUCCAGCCAUGCCGCGUGCAGGAAGACGGCCCUAUGGGUUGUAAAACUGCUUUUAUACGGGAGCAAUAAGGUCUAUGCAUAGAUUGAUGAGAGUACCGUAUGAAUAAGCAUCGGCUAAC